This 71-nucleotide transfer RNA is filed under the name Marmota monax (woodchuck). RNAcentral describes it as "tRNA.Ala". It matches the Rfam family "tRNA". Rfam says of the family: Transfer RNA (tRNA) molecules are approximately 80 nucleotides in length. Their secondary structure includes four short double-helical elements and three loops (D, anti-codon, and T loops). The record is from RNAcentral. Lineage: Eukaryota; Metazoa; Chordata; Mammalia; Rodentia; Sciuridae.
GGGGCUGUAGCUUAGUGGUAGAGCACUUGCCUGGCAUGUGUGAGGCACUGAGUUCUAUCCUCAGCACCACA